This 2513-nucleotide long non-coding RNA is filed under the name Anolis carolinensis (green anole). RNAcentral describes it as "lncRNA (ENSACAG00000031646.2)". The record is from RNAcentral. Lineage: Eukaryota; Metazoa; Chordata; Lepidosauria; Squamata; Anolidae.
GGAGAAGACAGAUAGUAUGUGUACAUGCAAAAAAUGGAAUCUUCUACAUUAUUUUUAAUUAAGAGGUAGGGCAUGCAUAUUCCUCUAGAUCAGUGGUUCUCAACCUGGGGCCCCAGAUAUUUUUGGCCUACAACUCCCAGAAAUCCCAGCCAGUUUACCAGCUGUUAGGAUUUCUGGGAGUUGAUAGCCAAAAAUAUCUGGGGACUCCAGGUCUAGAUAUUUUUGGACUUCCCAUCAGUCAUAACCAGCAUAAGGUAUGGUGCGAGUUGCAAUCCAGCAAUAUCUCAAUGGCCAUACAUUCCCCAUAACUGUUGUAGUAGAUGUGUGCAGGUUUCAGGAGAGUUUACACAUAAAUCACCAAUUUAUUAUUCAGCGAUGAUGAACAGCUCAGUUCCAGAAGAACCUCAGUGGAAAUUUGCCACACAUUUUCUUCAGUAUCUGGGACAGAAAGCAUGUCUUUUUCUUGAAAGAAUUAUAGGAAAUAUAGGGGCUCAAUACUAGAAUGACAACCUUAAGGUGAACCAAUCAUGGGGUUUCCUUGGUAAAAUUGUUCAUGAUCAAAGUUUCCUCUGAGGCUAAGAGGUUAUGAUUUUUCAUGGUUGAGUGCAAACUUCAAUCCUAGGUCUCAAGGAUAAUAGCUUGAUGCUCAAACCAUUACACUACAAUGGUUCUCCCUAAUACUAGAAGACAAGUCCUAAUUUCUGUAAAUUGGGUGACUACAAAAGCAAACUAUCUUUGCCCUUUGUUCUAUUUUAUAUUUCUACCUUUUGCAUUUUAUAGAUCUUAAACAGCUGUCCUUGUUUGCUGAACUCUUUAACUUGAACUCAUUAGCUUGCAAUUGUUUUCAUGUGUUCAUUUUACCAUUAGUUAAUAAUGAAAUGUUAAGUGUUCUGUGGAACCUUUGCUUAAGGCACUUGCUACAGAUCAUUGAAUGGUUUAAUUAAGACUCACUGUUGGAUGAGGCAUGAACUCUGUUCCAGUUUUAACAUGGGGAAGGACUCGUCAUUUGAAUGUAACACAAGGUAGCUGGAGGAGGAUGAUUUCUUCUUCUGUCUGGAUCUGUGUAGGUCACCCAACAUCAGCAUGGAGUAUUUCUUUGAUUGAUUGUUUGUCCUUUCCAUCCAUGUUUUCAAGGGAACAUUGGAAGCUAAACCUCAGAGAGAAGAUGAUUGUCACAAUUCAUAUGACUAUGGCUACUUUUUCUAUCAUUGCUAUGGUGCUAUGCAGCAAAAUAUCAUUCACAGGCUCAAAAAUGCAAGAGAAACAGAGAUAUGGGGGGGGGGGGUUACAUUAUGCUUGCCAAAAUGCUAUACUGUAUAGAACUAAGAUUAUUUCAUUUACUUCACUGAUAAUGAAAUAGUUUCUUAAAUAAACCUCUUGUGAAGUAUUAUUUAUUUUUUAAAUAUAUAUCAAAACUCAAAGAUGCAUCAAAAGAAUGGUGCUGAUAUAAUGUCACCCCUCCCCAAAUAAAUAUUUCUUAAAGACAGGUGUGCUGGUAUCUUUGGUUUCAAGCUGUUUCCUGUCACUGCUGCCAACUGAAGAUACAGCUGAAAUGCAACUCUGCUGUGCAAUUUACUGCAUUCGUUGUUUGCUAUUCACUAACAGGUUGUUUGAUCUUGGUGACAGAGAAAUCAUUCCUUCAGUUUCUCCUACAGAGAGAGAAAACUUUAUUUAAAUAAAUUUAAAGCCAAUAUACUGACAGGGUAUCAUUGCUAUUACUGGCAGGGCUUUGAAAUACAGCAUCUCAAAGCUAGUGGAUUUAAAGCAGACUGUCUGGUCUACAAGCCCCCAUGCCUUUAAACUUUACUGAUUCACCAAAAAUAAAGACUUACAGAUGCAAUGACUUACAGUUAGUAUGGUACUUAUUUGUAGUUAGUUACAAUGGUAGUUGCAAUGGUUUUACUCAUCGGCCUUCAAUAAAAAAGCAGCAGAAUAAAAUUUAUUUACAAGUUAAACAUUCCUAAUAUAGAAUCCUAAAUAUGAAAUUCUCACAAAUCUGAAAGUCUUUUCCAUCAGUUGCCUGCUUACACCUUCAAGGCAGUUGUUACAGCACUGCUGCUUGUUCAUUUGCAAGGUAGAAUUGGGAGACUAGUGGGCACCUCAGAGAUCUGGUGUAUAAUAUUGCAAUUUUUAAAAUAUUAGGUCCUUUUUAUUCUGUCUGUCAAAUCCCCUAUCUCUUUUCAGCCUCACAUCCCAUACACAAGACAAGUAGCAAACGAAUGAAAUGUGAGGUUGGAGAGAGAUGUGAGGAUCUGGGAAAUGGCAGGAGACAGGGAUACUAAAAAUGGCUCAUUUUAUAUAUAUAUGUAUGUAAAUAUUCCAAAAUCUAGGGGGCGGGGGAGACCAUCUGAAAUCUUAAAUACUUUUGGUCCCAACUAUUUUGGGUAAGGGAUACUCAACCAGUUAUAUUAUUAGAUUACCUCAGAGGUAGACAACUGAAAGCAAUGAGGGAAGGCUAGACACUGACUCCAAGUAGGACUCCGAGGUCUGCAACUGCUCACUGUCACCCCUAU